This 268-nucleotide long non-coding RNA is filed under the name Mytilus galloprovincialis (Mediterranean mussel). The record is from RNAcentral. Lineage: Eukaryota; Metazoa; Mollusca; Bivalvia; Mytilida; Mytilidae.
GCUGCUGGAAUGUUGCUACUUAGAAAUGGAAAGUUCACAAUUGGAAAGCUGAAAUCAUCUCUUUUGUCGUAAAGGUUUGUUUUCAACCGACCCUCAUUGUCAAUUUCUAGAUGUAAGUCAAGAUAUGAGGCCGACUUAACUGUAUCUGUAGUAUCCUUUAUCUCUAGCUCGAUUGGAUAGAUGCGUUCCACAUAGUCACCAAAUUUUGAAUUAUUUAGUGAAAGAACAUCAUCUAUAUAGCGAAAAGUAGAGUUAAAGGAUAUUGCUA